RNAcentral lists this microRNA precursor (116 nucleotides) under Cricetulus griseus (Chinese hamster). RNAcentral describes it as "miRNA (ENSCGRG00000021579.1)". The record is from RNAcentral. Lineage: Eukaryota; Metazoa; Chordata; Mammalia; Rodentia; Cricetidae.
UUCUUUAUGUAGCCUUGGCUGUCCGGGAACUCACUAUGUAGACCAGGCUGGCCUGGAACUCAGAGAUGUACCUGCCUCUGCUUCCCAAGUGCUGGGAUUAAAAGUAUGCACUACCA